AUAUGAGAAGUAAAGAGAGAAAAAAAUCAUACUGACGCAGUAAUUUACGUGGUUCGACAGUGUGCCUACUCCAUGAGUGAGAAUAGAGCAAAACAAUUCUACUAUAAUAAAAUGAAGUACAAAAACAAUAGUUAUCUCUCAAAUCCAAAAUUUCAAUACAUCCAAAUCUCACACAAAAGAGAAGCUCUCAAGUCUAAAACUCUCACUCUCUUACUUUCUUGCAGAUGGUGGUGUAGAA
This 238-nucleotide long non-coding RNA is filed under the name Elaeis guineensis (African oil palm). RNAcentral describes it as "long non-coding RNA (EGUI_LNC039135)". The record is from RNAcentral. Lineage: Eukaryota; Viridiplantae; Streptophyta; Magnoliopsida; Arecales; Arecaceae.